Molecule: ribosomal RNA, 427 nt
Filed under: uncultured bacterium
Lineage: Bacteria
Description: bacterial SSU rRNA
Rfam family: Bacterial small subunit ribosomal RNA
Source: RNAcentral
UGGGGAAUUUUGGACAAUGGACGCAAGUCUGAUCCAGCCAUGCCGCGUGCGGGAAGAAGGCCUUCGGGUUGUAAACUGCUUUUGUACGGAACGAAAAGCCCUUCUCUAAUACAGAGGGGUCAUGACGGUACCGUAAGAAUAAGCACCGGCUAACUACGUGCCAGCAGCCGCGGUAAUACGUAGAGUGCAAGCGUUAAUCGGAAUUACUGGGCGUAAAGCGUGCGCAGGCGGUUUUGUAAGACAGAGGUGAAAUCCCCGGGCUCAACCUGGGAACUGCCUUUGUGACCGCAAGGCUGGAGUGCGGCAGAGGGGGACGGAAUUCCGCGUGUAGCAGUGAAAUGCGUAGAUAUGCGGAGGAACACCGAUGGCGAAGGCAAUCCCCUGGGCCUGCACUGACGCUCAUACACGAAAGCGUGGGGAGCAAACA